AUACAGACUUAGGAAAAGAAGUUAUGAUCAAGCAUGUGUCAAUCCAGUUGAGCCUGUGGUUGCCCACAGUGAUAAGCAACCUCAAGAAUGGGAGCCACCAACUACAAGUCAAGACAUUAGACCUGGUGAAGAGAAAAAGGAUGAAGGAGCAUCUGCAGUGGAAGGGCCUGUCCCGGAAGCUGAUCAAUGGGAAGUGGCUGAGCCAGAGACUGGGCGUGAGCAUGAUCCUGGUGUUAAUGGGAAGAGACUGCCAAAGGCAGAGCCCUUUUAAAAUGCCAGAAGCAGGUAUGUUCUC
This is a long non-coding RNA of Camelus dromedarius (Arabian camel), 295 nucleotides long. RefSeq lists it as uncharacterized. Lineage: Eukaryota; Metazoa; Chordata; Mammalia; Artiodactyla; Camelidae. The transcript is spliced from 3 exons. The record is from RefSeq and is a predicted model, not a curated record.